RNAcentral lists this ribosomal RNA (253 nucleotides) under uncultured bacterium. RNAcentral describes it as "partial 16S ribosomal RNA". It matches the Rfam family "Bacterial small subunit ribosomal RNA", at positions 524 to 776 of the family's 1533-position model. The record is from RNAcentral.
UACAGAGGUCUCAAGCGUUGUUCGGAUUCAUUGGGCGUAAAGGGUGCGUAGGUGGCGCUGUAAGUCGGGUGUGAAAUUUCGGAGCUUAACUCCGAAACUGCAUUCGAUACUGCGGUGCUUGAGGACUGGAGAGGAGACUGGAAUUCAUGGUGUAGCGGUGAAAUGCGCAGAUAUCAGGAGGAACACCGGUGGCGAAGGCGGGUCUCUGGGCCGAUACUGACACUGAGGAGCGAAAGCCAGGGGAGCAAACGGG